Molecule: ribosomal RNA, 434 nt
Filed under: uncultured bacterium
Lineage: Bacteria
Description: partial 16S ribosomal RNA
Rfam family: Bacterial small subunit ribosomal RNA
Source: RNAcentral
AGCGAACGCUGGCGGCAGGCCUAACACAUGCAAGUCGAACGAACCUUUCGGGGUUAGUGGCGGACGGGUGAGUAACACGUGGGAACGUGCCUUUAGGUUCGGAAUAACUCAGGGAAACUUGUGCUAAUACCGAAUGUGCCCUUCGGGGGAAAGAUUAAUCGCCUUUAGAGCGGCCCGCGUCUGAUUAGCUAGUUGGGUGAGGUAAUGGCUCACCAAGGCGACGAGCAGUAGCGGGUCUGAGAGGAUGAUCAGCCACAUUGGGACUGAGACACGGCCCAAACUCCUACGGGAGGCAGCAGUGGGUAAUCUUGCGCAAUGGGCGAAAGCCUGACGCAGCCAUGCCGCGUGAAUGAUGAAGGUCUUAGGAUUGUAAAAUUCUUUCACCGGGGACGAUAAUGACGGUACCCGGAGAAGAAGCCCCGGCUAACUUCGUG